UCGACGAUAUCUAAUCGAGAAAUAAUCUUGGCAAGGACAAUAAUAAGCACGGGCGAUCGUUAUAGCAGAUUGAUAAAACGUGUUUUCGUGGAUGAAAUUCGUUGGAACGUCGGCAGUGGUAAAAACUCGCCACCCACCAAUUUAACGUCAUUUAGUUCCAUUGCCUUUAUUACGUCUCGCGAUUCUGCCAUUCGCAACACAGACGACGGGUAAUCAAAAAGCGAGCGGGUCUUCCGCGCUGGUAUUGUUCGAAAGAGGGCAGCGCAGCUGCUCGAAAAUAGACAAGUCCAUUGUGAGCACACGGAGGCCAACAAUGGACGCCGAGAGUACGUGCACGCGUGAAAUCGAUCGGGAAACUGACUCACGGGGACGGAUCCCGUACCCGGCUCCGUACAAGCUAACGCUCGAUUAUUCCCUGUAUCGGCAAGGUCACGACCUCCGGUGAGAAUCGUGACAGGACUGCACGAAACGACACGGCGGCGCGCCGAACACGACACCAAACUAUCGUGGCAACGGGUGCUUCGCUACUGUGCGCAGGAGUCUGCGUGUGCGCCGCUCCGACAAGCGGGAAUGGUGGGGAUGACAGGGACAGAUGGCAGCCACGAACGUUACCGGUUUACGCCGAGUGUGGCCGAACAUGAUUCAUACUCGACCCGGGAGAUGGUGCAUCUGUUUAAAUUAUGAAUAUUUAUUUAAUUCAUAUAUUUUUCUAUUUAUUUAUAGUAAAUUUCAAUCUUAUAUGAAAAUCAAUACAUUUUUGUUUGGUGUUAAUAAAUUUAUAUUAUAUUUCA
Osmia bicornis bicornis is the source of this 791-nucleotide long non-coding RNA. RefSeq lists it as uncharacterized. NCBI's taxonomy places the organism in Eukaryota, Metazoa, Arthropoda, Insecta, Hymenoptera, Megachilidae. The record is from RefSeq and is a predicted model, not a curated record. The transcript is spliced from 2 exons.